AACUCAUGGUUGGGACAUUGCAAGAGAUUCCCAUUAAAUCUCUCCCACACCUCACACAGAGGUUAUCCAUUCAAUUGAUAAAAAUUAGUGAUUUCAUUAUGCAAUU
Molecule: non-coding RNA, 106 nt
Organism: Capsicum annuum
Lineage: Eukaryota; Viridiplantae; Streptophyta; Magnoliopsida; Solanales; Solanaceae
Source: Rfam